AACGAACGCUGGCGGCAUGCCUAACACAUGCAAGUCGAACGGCACCUUCGUAUCUGGUUGCGCACACGGGCGGCACGCGGGGGAAGCUGCCCUUAUAUUCGGAAUACUACCCCGAAAGGGGUGCUAAUACCGGAAAAUGUCUUCGGACAAAAGAUUCGUCGCCUUUGGGUGGGCCGGCGAUGGUUUGGCUAGUUGGUAGUGUAAAAGCCUACGACGGCGACGCUCCAUAGCUGGGAUGAGAGGAUGGUCAGCGACACUGGGACUGAGACACGGCCGAGACUCUUAGGGGAGGGAGGAGUGGGUAAUACUGGACAAUGGGGUAAAUGCUGAUCCAGCUAUGCCGGGAGAGUGAUGAAGGUCUGAGGGUUGUAAAGCUCUUUUACACGGGAUGAUAAUGACAGUACCGGGAGAAUAAGCACCGGCUAACUUCGUG
Molecule: ribosomal RNA, 433 nt
Filed under: uncultured bacterium
Lineage: Bacteria
Description: partial 16S ribosomal RNA
Rfam family: Bacterial small subunit ribosomal RNA
Source: RNAcentral